This 253-nucleotide ribosomal RNA is filed under the name uncultured bacterium. Its description in RNAcentral is "partial 16S ribosomal RNA". It matches the Rfam family "Bacterial small subunit ribosomal RNA", at positions 524 to 776 of the family's 1533-position model. The record is from RNAcentral.
UACGGAGGGUGCGAACGUUAAUCGGAACCACUGGGCGUAAAGCGCGCGUAGGCGGUCUGUUAAGUGGGAUGUGAAAUCCCCGGGCUUAACCUGGGAAUUGCAUUUCAAACUGGCCGACUAGAGUACGGUAGAGGGAGGUAGAAUUUCCUGUGUAGCGGUGAAAUGCGUAGAUAUAGGAAGGAAUACCAGUGGCGAAGGCGGCCUCCUGGAUCGAUACUGACGCUGAGGCGCGAAAGCGUGGGGAGCAAACAGG